RNAcentral lists this ribosomal RNA (439 nucleotides) under uncultured bacterium. RNAcentral's name for it is "partial 16S ribosomal RNA". It matches the Rfam family "Bacterial small subunit ribosomal RNA", at positions 339 to 795 of the family's 1533-position model. The record is from RNAcentral.
CUACGGGAUGCACCAGUGGGGAAUAUUGCACAAUGGAGGAAACUCUGAUGCAGCAACGCCGCGUGGAGGAUGACACUUUUCGGAGCGUAAACUCCUUUUAUAUAGGAAGAAGAUGACGGUACUAUAUGAAUAAGCGCCGACUAACUCCGUGCCAGCAGCCGCGGUAAUACGGAGGGCGCAAGCGUUACUCGGAGUCACUGGGCGUAAAGAGCGUGUAGGCGGAUUAAAAAGUCAGAAGUGAAAUCCUAUAGCUUAACUAUAGAACUGCUUCUGAAACUCUUAAUCUAGAAUAUGGGAGAGGUAGAUGGAAUUUCUGGUGUAGGGGUAAAAUCCGUAGAGAUCAGAAGGAAUACCGAUUGCGAAGGCGAUCUACUAGAACAUUAUUGACGCUGAGACGCGAAAGCGUGGGGAGCAAACAGGAUUAGAUACCCCCGUAGUC